Molecule: unclassified non-coding RNA, 250 nt
Filed under: plant metagenome
Description: partial contains small subunit ribosomal RNA and internal transcribed spacer 1
Rfam family: Eukaryotic small subunit ribosomal RNA (bases 1-46)
Source: RNAcentral
AAGUCGUAACAAGGUUUCCGUAGGUGAACCUGCGGAAGGAUCAUUACCGAGAUAGGGUGCCGGCCUAAACCCCCGGCGCCCGACCUCCAACCCUGUGUCUACAUUACCACUGUUGCCUCGGCGGGCCGUCGAAAGUCUAGCGAUAGGCCCAGCCGUCGGCCCCUCAACAAGGGGCCCCCGAGCGCCCGUCGAAGGACCUUAUUAACCCAAUUUGAAACGAGCCUUCUGAGUAAAUUUUAAUACUUCAAAA